This 945-nucleotide ribosomal RNA is filed under the name bacterium. Its description in RNAcentral is "bacterial SSU rRNA". It matches the Rfam family "Bacterial small subunit ribosomal RNA", at positions 421 to 1382 of the family's 1533-position model. The record is from RNAcentral.
GAGUGUUAACCGCUCUCAGCCGGGAAGAAGCGAAAAGGACGGUACCUCCAGAAGAAGUACCGGCUAAGUACGUGCCAGCAGCCGUGGUAAUACGUAGGGUACGAGCGUUGUCCGGAAUUAUUGGCGUAAAAAGCUCGUAGGUGGUUGGUCACGUCUGCUGUGGAACGCAACGCUUAACGUUGCGCGUGCAGUGGGUACGGGCUGACUAGAGUGCAGUAGGGGAGUCUGGAAUUCCUGGUGUAGCGGUGAAAUGCGCAGAUAUCAGGAGGAACACCGGUGGCGAAGGCGGGACUCUGGGCUGUAGCUGAUACUGAGGAGCGAAAGCAUGGGGAGCGAACAGGAUUAGAUACCCUGGUAGUCCAUGCCGUAAACGUUGGGCACUAGGUGUGGGGGACAUUCCACGUUCUCCGCUCCGUAGCUAACGCAUUAAGUGCCCCGCCUGGGGAGUACGGUCGCAAGGCUAAAACUCAAAGGAAUUGACGGGGGCCCGCACAAGCGGCGGAGCAUGCGGAUUAAUUCGAUGCAACGCGAAGAACCUUACCAAGGCUUGACAUACACUGGACCGUUCUGGAAACAGUUCUUCUCUUUGGAGCUGGUGUACAGGUGGUGCAUGGUUGUGGUCAGCUCGUGUCGUGAGAUGUUGGGUUAAGUCCCGCAACGAGCGCAACCCUCGUCCUAUGUGGCCAGCACGUGAUGGUGGGAACUCAUAGGAGACUGCCGGGGUCAACUCGGAGGAAGGUGGGGAUGACGUCAAAUCAUCAUGCCCUUUAUGUCUUGGGCUUCACGCAUGCUACAAUGGCUGGUACAGAGAGAGGCGAACCCGUGAGGGUAAGGGAAUCCCUUAAAGCCAGUGUCAGUUCGGAUCGUAGUCUGCAAUUUGACUACGGAAGUCGGAGUCGCUAGUAAUCGCAGUUCAGCAACGGGGCGGCUCGGCAUAAGGGCUUA